Vulpes vulpes (red fox) is the source of this 1677-nucleotide long non-coding RNA. NCBI's taxonomy places the organism in Eukaryota, Metazoa, Chordata, Mammalia, Carnivora, Canidae. The record is from Ensembl.
AAAUAAAUACAAAUCUUUAAAAAUAAAUAAAGUUUUUUUAGUUAAAAAGUGUACUUGCUUAAAAAUCAUGCACAAAUUCAGAGGGUAAACCACAAAAUCACAUACAACCAGACCGAAAAGAAAAUGAAGUAGUGUUCUUAUAACCACUCUAUUUUAUCAGUUGAUGGCUUUACUUUUCACUCAGCUUUCCAAACUGCCAAAUCGAAUGAAUGGAUUCAUUGUUUUAAACACAAGGUUGCAUAAAUCUCGAUGAUUCCUCUGACAAACUCCUAAAAAGCUACACGGCUGUGCGACUCUGGUUCUGAGAUCCAAAGCAGCCUUACAGAAACUAAUCUGUAUCUGGGGCUCAGUGUUAAAAAUGCCGUAGCCAGAGGUGACUCCGCUUCCGAGUGAAAUGCUUUUACUCCCAUCCACCUGUCAUUUCCAUCACGCAUUAAUAUAGGAAAAGACAGUAUUUUCACCAGUUAUCAUAACGAAAUGAACUUUUAGCUUUCAUUUGGUUGCCACCUGCUGGCUAAAAGGUGAAAUCUUCCCUCUGCAGCAAAACCAGUGUGGUGACUGAGGACAGGUGGAAGCAGACGAGUCCUCGGUUGUCAGCAAAGCGAGUGCGGGUGACAUCAGACCGUCUUCUGAAAGGCUGCUAAUCCUCAUGUGUCCACGGUGCUCGAGAUGCUAGGAAAUACCACCAGCCAGCCCCAGCUGUGUGGCUCAGCUCAGUACCAAUGCCACUAUUUUCAGAGAACAAAGGACUUCAGGUUGCACGACCAAGGAGUGCUAAUGAAGGAGGAAGGAAAAGAAAAAUGCAAGUGGAGAAGGAACAACAUAUGCUGGUAUAUGUAGGUGAUUCCAUGGAGAAUUUUGCAAGUGAGUUAAUAAUUUUCACUGUUCUAAAAUUUUUUUAUAAUCAUUGCCAAUAGCUUAAAGAUACAUACAUCGUGCUCUGGCCCUGAGCUAAAUAAGCUGUAUUUGUUUUAAGCACUAUUGCCACAUUUCAUGAAAAAUAUGUAACUAGAGAUGAUGAUUGGGAUGGUAUUUUAAAAAAUCCCAAAAUAUAUGAGAAAAAGAAAGUAGGGAUGCUUGUCCUCAAAAGGAAAAGAUAAUCAGAGAUAAUAAUAGCAAACAUUUUUAAAUAUGUGUGUGUUAUAGAUCAGACAUUGCGCUAAUUGCUUAUGUGCAUCAUCUCAUUUAUUCCCUACAGCUACCAUACUAGGUAUGUUUUACAAGGAAACAGGAUUGGAAAUACUCACCCCAGAUCACAAGCUGACAAAUGGGGAAGGUAAACCCUCUCUGUAGGUCUGCCUCACAUUAAAACCUAACAACCCAUUCCAUCUGCCAUAAUGACACCACUGCAAGAGACAAUGACCCAGCUGGUUUCAUAGAGGAUGUGGUUCUGGUACCACUGCUGCCACCAUCUGGGAGAUACGACUCCAGGUGAAUCAUCACCUCAAUACAGGGCUGAUCUGUCAUCUGCAAGAGUUGGGAUGAUUGCUAAGGUCUCACAGCUCAAAUUCCGUAACUCCAAAUAUUGGAAAGUGCAUUGAACAGAGAGCAAAUGUUGUGUCGGUCUAAAUGGCAGAAGUGGAAUGAAUGGGAUGACUCAGCGACUGCCUAGGUAUCUGGGUGUUUCUGGCGCUACUCAUGAAUAAAAUGGAAAAACUCCGAAUGAGAAAAUAUGUA